UACGGGGGGGGGCAAGCGUUGUUCGGAAUUACUGGGCGUAAAGGGCUCGUAGGCGGCCAACUAAGUCAGACGUGAAAUCCCUCGGCUUAACCGGGGAACUGCGUCUGAUACUGGAUGGCUUGAGGUUGGGAGAGGGAUGCGGAAUUCCAGGUGUAGCGGUGAAAUGCGUAGAUAUCUGGAGGAACACCGGUGGCGAAGGCGGCAUCCUGGACCAAUUCUGACGCUGAGGAGCGAAAGCCAGGGG
RNAcentral lists this ribosomal RNA (244 nucleotides) under uncultured bacterium. RNAcentral describes it as "partial 16S ribosomal RNA". It matches the Rfam family "Bacterial small subunit ribosomal RNA", at positions 524 to 766 of the family's 1533-position model. The record is from RNAcentral.